UGUCCGAAUGGAUGCCAAGCGGGGCCCCAGUGCUGAUGCAUGCUUCGUCAAAUGCGAGCUGACAGCUUGUUAGGGGUCAGUUUGAUACAAUCACCAUCUCUGCUUCCAGGGCUGGAAGUGAUUUGCCUCGGCCCAUUAUGACGUGCGGCGGGGGCCCGGAGAACAAACACGCCGGUCGGGAGGGUGGAGGGGAGGCAUAUCAAGCAGGCUGCUUUUGGAGAUGAGAUUUCGCUGGGCACCGCCAAGACUCAAGGAAACAAUUCGGGAGUGAGCCGAUGAUUGCCCGUGAUUGCUCCAGAUCACAUUCUGCCUCAUGGAGAACAGCAGGCUUGAAAGUGAAGGAGCUCUCCCCGGAGGUCUGUGAUCCGGGGUGACCAGUGGAUUCCUGCUCAGCCUUCGAUGCUGAGAGAGGGGAAAGAGCUUGAUCUGUCUUUAUGCGCUUUUAAUUACAAGUGGCUGGCCGGGCCGCAACCUCCUGAGACCAGAGGUGAAGCCGUUGCGUCAGGACCAGCUGCCAUUCCGCUGGCAGCUCAAUAUCAACCUAAACAUCCCCUGAAACCCACGGGCGAGGAGGAGGAGGGUGGAAGAUCGGGGUUAAUGCAGGGAUCACAUGUGUAAGCAUAUCAGGCACGGACACCUGCCAAUCACAGGGGCGGCGGCAACAGGUCGGUUAUCUGCGUUCCAACGCAAUAAUAUUCCUCUGAGCUGCGGUUGGC
Acanthopagrus latus (yellowfin seabream) is the source of this 716-nucleotide long non-coding RNA. RefSeq lists it as uncharacterized. Lineage: Eukaryota; Metazoa; Chordata; Actinopteri; Spariformes; Sparidae. The transcript is spliced from 3 exons. The record is from RefSeq and is a predicted model, not a curated record.